This 1080-nucleotide long non-coding RNA is filed under the name Homo sapiens (human). Its description in RNAcentral is "novel transcript". Lineage: Eukaryota; Metazoa; Chordata; Mammalia; Primates; Hominidae. The record is from RNAcentral.
GUACUAUUUUGGAGAACGGCGAACAGAUAAAACCAAUGGCACUAAAUAUCAGGGAGUAGAAACUCCUUCUCAGGUGUUGGAACAGGCGAUGGAUAUGAUCUAAAAGUCCAAAUAGUAAUGAAGAAAAAGAUUGUCUUUUCCUGCACUUCCUUAAACAGUUGUCGGGUAUUUCAUGACACUGAAACAGACAGGGUAAUAAUUGAUGUGUUCAACUGUCCACCUCUGUAUGAUGAUGUGAAAGUGCAAGCUUCCUCUUCGGAUUUUCCUAAAUACUAUCACAACUACCCUUUUUUCUUCUGGUUUAACACAUCUUUAAUACAAAAUAACAAGUAUGUAUAUAAUAUCAACCCAUAGAAACAACCUAAUCUUCAAUGUCUAUGUAUAAGAUGUAAUGGCAAGUCUUUUGCUGGUUGUCAUAAGCUUAAUUUAUAGAAAACAAAAAAUCCUCGAGCCACCAUUGUUCAUUGUCUUACUCCUUUUACUUUGGCUAUUUUAAAAAUACAGUUGUUCUUGAGACCCCCGGUUGCAGCAUCCUCAAGGUCCAUGCCAUAGGACUGUGUUAUGAGCUCAAAAGUAUUAUAAUCAGAUCUUAAGUGUGGAAGUAAAUUCCUCCCAGAGAAGUUCAAUAUGAAUCUGCUCAGUACCUUCAACAUGUCAGGUCCUCAGUAGGUGCUGAUUUACCAAUGACGAACCACCACCAAAUUUUGUGCUAAAGUAAGGGAGGACCUAGGGAAGCUUCAGCUAGCUGAAAAGCUGACUGACACACUUAUAUCUAAGAGAAGUUACAAGACACAGCUUUAUCUACAAAGAAAUGAAUUGGAUAAUCUUCAUAAACAAAAAACUGGAAAAUUUAUCAACCAGAAUAUGCAGUAGAGACAUAUUUUGAUGAGAAAUGACUUAAGUUAUGUUGUAACUGGUAGCUGAUUAAGUAUAGUUCCCUGCACCCCUUCUGGGAAAGAAUUAUGUUCUUUCUAACCCUGCCACAUAGUUAUAUGUUCUAAAUCUUCCUUGCUGGUACAUCUAUAUUGAUAUAUGUAUACACAUGUUCUUUAUAAAUCUAUUAAAUAUAUACAGAUAAAA